Long non-coding RNA from Spodoptera frugiperda (fall armyworm), 530 nucleotides. RefSeq lists it as uncharacterized. The transcript has 2 exons. Lineage: Eukaryota; Metazoa; Arthropoda; Insecta; Lepidoptera; Noctuidae. The record is from RefSeq and is a predicted model, not a curated record.
AAAGUCGCACAUAAUAGGUACCUAGGUACUUAAGUUAUGACCUAAAUUCUCCAACACUUGAGUUGUUAACAGUACAAACACACAAUUACUCGUCCUUAUAACCCUUUAUCUGUGCGCGUAAAACAAAAACAAAACAGAUUCGAAAUGAACAGUGAUCGGACCGGUUGUGAUUGUUUUAUUUUUUCAAUCGAUAUUUCGAUAGUUCUAGAGGUCUUAUAAAGGUGCAUCGCUUCGUAUUUGCAUUAUACACGUCUUGCUAACACAUGGAAAAUAUGAGGUUUUUGAAGCUAGUGUUGUGUUUUGUGGUUUUAAAUGUGGCAUUGGCUCUAGCGGCCUGCCCACCUGGUGAAUACAACCCUGGACCAAACUGUGGCCUGGAACCAUCAUGUUCAACCAGAAGCUCUCACGCAUACCCGAAGCAUACCUGCGAUUGUUGGUGUUUACCUGGCACGUACAGAAAUCUGGAUACCAACGCAUGCGUCGACCUUAAAGGAUGUUAACAUUAAAUUUUAGUAUUAUUAAUUAUUAAA